RNAcentral lists this ribosomal RNA (253 nucleotides) under uncultured bacterium. RNAcentral describes it as "partial 16S ribosomal RNA". It matches the Rfam family "Bacterial small subunit ribosomal RNA", at positions 524 to 776 of the family's 1533-position model. The record is from RNAcentral.
UACGUAGGGUGCAAGCGUUGUCCGGAAUUAUUGGGCGUAAAGAGCUCGUAGGCGGUCUGUCGCGUCUGCUGUGAAAACUCAGGGCUUAACCCUGAGCUUGCAGUGGGUACGGGCAGACUAGAGAGCGGUAGGGGAGACUGGAAUUCCUGGUGUAGCGGUGAAAUGCGCAGAUAUCAGGAGGAACACCGGUGGCGAAGGCGGGUCUCUGGGCCGUAACUGACGCUGAGGAGCGAAAGCAUGGGGAGCGAACAGG